GCCUCGAUAGUCUAAUAGCUUAGGACGCUCGUAUGGAAUACAAGAGAUCCGGGUUCAAGUUCCGGACGAGGUA
Molecule: non-coding RNA, 73 nt
Organism: Trachymyrmex cornetzi
Lineage: Eukaryota; Metazoa; Arthropoda; Insecta; Hymenoptera; Formicidae
Source: Rfam